UACGUAGGGACCAAGCGUUGUCCGGAAUCAUUGGGCGUAAAGAGCGUGUAGGCGGCUUGUUAAGUCUUGCGUGAAAUCUCGGGGCUCAACCCCGAGCGGUCGUGAGAAACUGGCAGGCUAGAGUGCGGGAGAGGAGAGUGGAAUUCCUGGUGUAGCGGUGAAAUGCGCAGAUAUCAGGAGGAACACCGAUGGCGAAGGCAGGUCUCUGGGCCACUACUGACGCUGAGAAGCGAAAGCAUGGGGAGCGAACAGG
Molecule: ribosomal RNA, 253 nt
Filed under: uncultured bacterium
Lineage: Bacteria
Description: partial 16S ribosomal RNA
Rfam family: Bacterial small subunit ribosomal RNA
Source: RNAcentral